Non-coding RNA from Mycena alexandri, 93 nucleotides. Lineage: Eukaryota; Fungi; Basidiomycota; Agaricomycetes; Agaricales; Mycenaceae. The record is from the annotation of a GenBank genome assembly.
GGCUGCGUGGCACAACGGUUAGUGCGCUCGAUUGACCUUAGGCUUCUGCAUCGGUUUAAUCGGGAUAUGGCGGUUCGACUCCUCCCGUAGCCU